Molecule: ribosomal RNA, 497 nt
Filed under: uncultured bacterium
Lineage: Bacteria
Description: partial 16S ribosomal RNA
Rfam family: Bacterial small subunit ribosomal RNA
Source: RNAcentral
GACGAACGCUGGCGGCGUGCCUAAUACAUGCAAGUAGAACGCUGAAGCGAGGAGCUUGCUCUUCUUGGAUGAGUUGCGAACGGGUGAGUAACGCGUAGGUAACCUGCCUGGUAGCGGGGGAUAACUAUUGGAAACGAUAGCUAAUACCGCAUAAAAUGGAUUAUCGCAUGAUAAUCCAUUGAAAGGUGCAAAUGCAUCACUACCAGAUGGACCUGCGUUGUAUUAGCUAGUUGGUGGGGUAACGGCUCACCAAGGCGACGAUACAUAGCCGACCUGAGAGGGUGAUCGGCCACACUGGGACUGAGACACGGCCCAGACUCCUACGGGAGGCAGCAGUAGGGAAUCUUCGGCAAAGGACGGAAGUCUGACCGAGCAACGCCGCGUGAGUGAAGAAGGUUUUCGGAUCGUAAAGCUCUGUUGUAAGAGAAGAACGAGUGUGAGAGUGGAAAGUUCACACUGUGACGGUAUCUUACCAGAAAGGGACGGCUAACUACGUG